This 556-nucleotide long non-coding RNA is filed under the name Physcomitrium patens. RNAcentral describes it as "long non-coding RNA (PPAT_LNC005036)". Lineage: Eukaryota; Viridiplantae; Streptophyta; Bryopsida; Funariales; Funariaceae. The record is from RNAcentral.
UUCCUUACAGCAAUUCAGUCAUACCAAUAACUGCUAUUUCUACCAAUAUAUUCACCCUCAUAAUCUCCAACUAUAAUACUACGCCCUCACAGCUUUCAGCACACAAUUACUCUCAUUUUAAUCAUUGGAAUUCUUCACACAGAACUUCCAUUCACAUUACGGUGUUUCACACAAACACAGACUCAUUCUUUCUGCUGAACUACAAUCAAAUUUCAGCAUUCAAUCUUUCUUCUUCUCAAAUAAUACCAAUCACAUUUCUAUUCUAUAAUUCACUUCACAAUAUUCAAAAAUUCUCAAUCCUCUUAUUCAAAGAAAAUAACAAACAAAAGAAAAGAGGUAGUACCAAGCUUACCCCGGCUCACACUAUCAUAGCGAUGGCCCUUAAUUAACUUCUACAACUCCUAUAUUCUUUCCCCUGAUUUUUCAGAUUCUAACCGUAAUUCUGUAAUUAACCGCUUUUAAGAAUUAAAUCACUCAUCCAUCCUCCUAAAUUUCCUAUUAUAUGGACUAUUAAUAUAUUUUAGCAAUAUCUUUCAAAAACGAAUUAAUAUCUAUU